Cricetulus griseus (Chinese hamster) is the source of this 1260-nucleotide non-coding RNA. NCBI's taxonomy places the organism in Eukaryota, Metazoa, Chordata, Mammalia, Rodentia, Cricetidae. The record is from RefSeq and is a predicted model, not a curated record.
CCUCAUCGCCCCCCCCACCCCAAGAGCCUCCCCCAGGCCCCGCCCAGAACUCCAGCAGAACUCAGAACUACGGGAUGGAAGAGAGCAACUUCGGUUCACUUCACACGUGAGAGCGCCGAAGCUCUCAGGAGCUGGGACCUGACCCAGCUGUACACUGUGCAGAUCUAGAAGCAGAUCCGAUACUCUACUCCCAGCUGGGUUCCUGCCUCCAGGCAGGACCCAAGCUCGGUGCUGUGAGCUCAGACCAAGUUAGACCUGGGCAGAUGACUCGACCACCCACUGAAGUGACUAGCCCCAGUUCCUGGAAGGUUGUGGUUGACAAACCUUGAGUAACAAUGGCAAUCAGGGCCACUUCCUGUCCUUUGUUCAAAGAAAUGAACCUUUGGAGUUUAAAAUUUGCUUCCCAACCCUGCCCUGGCGGAAAACCAGAAAACUUGCUCAGUUCUUGCAGCUUAAAAAAAGAAAAUACACGAACUGGGUGAACUGGUUUGAAUAAAGACAGGCCUGUUCUUGGAAGAUUGGGGUUGGAUUUUUUUUUUUUUUUUUUUGGCCUUUGAUACUUGUAAAAGUGAGCAAAGAUGGGAACCGCAUUUACUACGUUAAGAGAUGGACUAGGAGGUACUUGUAGGCCCUCUGGCCCGCAGUAUUGAAAGCUUUUAAUCCCAGCACAAGGGAGGUAGGUCUGUGUGGACCCUGUCACAAACAAAACAACCUCUGAUUUUCUCCUUUUGUGUUUCUAGCCUGUCCCUACACAAAAGAAAUGCCUCACCUCAGCCCACACUAACAACAACCUCAGCACACCCUAAUGGCUUCCCUACCUGUUGCUGCCAUCUCAGCAUUUAUUGAACAACACCUCUCCUGCGGUCUUCAAACUCGAACACUUCUGGGUUCAAACUACUGAAGCCCUUUGCCCUCUCAACUUCCCCAGCUACGCACUGAAAAGCAGGAAUGCAGCAGAAGCGAAGAUCAAGAGUACCAGGCACCCCACGCAAUAAUGAACUGUUUUCUCUUUACAAUUAACGUGACAUCAGACAGGAAUCAAGAGCUCCUAGAGUUCAGACUUAAAAAGAUCACAAUUGAUUCAUUUCAGCCAGUCUGUGUCCUGGGUGCUACUAUUUAGUGUGGGGAACUCACCCCCGUGCUCAUUUAGACGUAACGGAACUUGACCAGCAUUGCUUGCUUGCUUUUAUUCCCUUCUCAGUAACCCACUUAUAAAGAAUAAUAGGGUUCUAAUGAGGAUUAAUAAAAUUUAAUAAGGUA